Molecule: ribosomal RNA, 490 nt
Filed under: uncultured bacterium
Lineage: Bacteria
Description: bacterial SSU rRNA
Rfam family: Bacterial small subunit ribosomal RNA
Source: RNAcentral
CUACGUGCCAGCAGCCGCGGUAAUACGGAGGGUGCGAGCGUUAAUCGGAAUAACUGGGCGUAAAGGGCACGCAGGCGGUGACUUAAGUGAGGUGUGAAAGCCCCGGGCUUAACCUGGGAAUUGCAUUUCAUACUGGGUCGCUAGAGUACUUUAGGGAGGGGUAGAAUUCCACGUGUAGCGGUGAAAUGCGUAGAGAUGUGGAGGAAUACCGAAGGCGAAGGCAGCCCCUUGGGAAUGUACUGACGCUCAUGUGCGAAAGCGUGGGGAGCAAACAGGAUUAGAUACCCUGGUAGUCCACGCUGUAAACGAUGUCGAUUUGGGGGUUGAACUUUAAGYUUGGCGCCCGUAGCUAACGUGAUAAAUCGACCGCCUGGGGAGUACGGCCGCAAGGUUAAAACUCAAAUGAAUUGACGGGGGCCCGCACAAGCGGUGGAGCAUGUGGUUUAAUUCGAUGCAACGCGAAGAACCUUACCUACUCUUGACAUCCAGA